CAUAUUUUUUUGGUGUAAUCUUUACAAGAAAGUGGAAUGUGAAUGUGUUGUGUGCUGGUUUGUGUUGACACAAAGAAACUGAUAGAGCUUGUGUAUGGAACUUGUUCCUUUUGUGUGUGUGUGGGUGUGUGUGGGUGUGUGUGUGUGUGUGGGGGUGUGUGUGUGUGUGUGUGUGCCCUGUUCAGCAAUGUGGAAUAUUUAAAAUAUGUAACUUUAACGUGAUGUCAAAUUCAUUUUACACAAGAGAGGAAUGCAGAUGGAGAGCAGGCAGUGAAGUAGCUAAGGAUCUACCAUUUGGGGGGGAAAAAAGAUACUAUUUGCACAGUUUACGCCUCCUCCAGACAUUUUAAUGAAGGAAAGGGAAAAGGUUAUAACAGAGUGCCAAAGGUAAUAACUGGAGAUGUGGAUUUAAAAUCUAUAUCUGAGGUCAGAAAGAGCGGAGUUUGCUUGAUAGUGGUGUGACAAAAAAAAUAAAAUUACAUAAGAAAUCUGAUUCUCAAGACCACGAUCAAAAACUAUUUCACUAUAUUCCAAAAUCCAAUUUUAAACAUAAAAUAAAUCAGCUGUAUGUCAGCCUCCAUUUUUUUUUAACUAGCUACUGUUUUUUUUAACCUGUACUGUCUGGCAUUCUGGCAGACAGUACUAGAAAGUAAAUGUAUGGAAGGCACCAAAACAAGCAGGAAACUACAAAAGUGAAAGAGAGAAAGAUUCAACCAGCCUCAUCUUCAUUGAAGACAAACAUUCAGACUGAUUUUAGUCUUUUUUGUUUUCCAAAUUCCUGGGACAACUGAGCUUGACAUGAGCUCCAGAAGAAACACUUUUUAAAUACUGAACUUUACAGAAAAAGUAUCCUUGCCAUAAAUAAAGUGUACAUGUUAGAACAGGCCAAUGUACUGCCAGUGAGAACAUAGUGUUUACUAUAUAUUAACUUUUUCCAUUUGUGAAACUUCAAUCAAAGGCAAUAUUAAUGCUUCUUUUUGGUUUUUUGGUUUGUUUUUCAUCUGGAUCACACUAGAACUGGUCCAGCAAAAAGCAAAAAAAAGACAAGUUCUCCUGUGUUUGUGCGGUUAGGGGUCUCUAAUUUGAUUAGCCUAAUUGUAAAGGCUAAUAAAAUACCACUAUCAACCAAUCAUAUAUUUUUCGCUUUUUCCUGCAGGCGACAUGCGCAGUACAGUGGACGCUGACGUAGAGUGACGUCAACUGAUAAUCCCUCAAUAAAACACUUUAUUGAUACUGCUUGGUUUCAAGCAGGACUACAGUAACCUUUGUCAAAAGAACACAUUAAUGCAUUUUAUACAUGUCGCUGAAGACACUGUAUGCAAACUUGACAACAUUUUUCUUUAAAGAAUUUAGUACGAGUCGCGGGAGACCAGCGGCCUAUGCGUGGUCAGUCUAUCCGAGGCCAACACCAGCCGAUCGGUGCUAAUGGACAACAGAGGAAGUUCUGGGAGCGUUGUUCUGUGUGCUCGAUUUUCUCCUACUCUCUUCCCUGCAAUUUCCACCAGAGGGCGCCCCGGAGCCAGGUGAUGCAAAUCAUAGACAUGAAUAGACGCAUCAUAGACAUGAAUAGACGCUUCAUAGAGCGGGUCGGCCGGUUCCUGCGAUACGUCACAGCGUCCGCCAUAUUGAAUGUGGCCUAUGUGCCAGUAAGCUAACACAAGUAUAUGGACCGAACUUCAGAAAGUGCCGUUCUACAAAGUAUUUUAAGUUAAUACCUGUAAUUGACACCUUUUCUCACACACACCAAUAUAUUUGGUAAUCAAAUAAUUGACUAAAGACAGAGUUCCUAACUUUUGAUGUGAUUAUUUAAUUGUUUUGGUGGAUUUCUGAAUAAAGAGCACAAUGUUUUUAUUUGA
Xiphophorus hellerii (green swordtail) is the source of this 1856-nucleotide long non-coding RNA. RefSeq lists it as uncharacterized. Lineage: Eukaryota; Metazoa; Chordata; Actinopteri; Cyprinodontiformes; Poeciliidae. The record is from RefSeq and is a predicted model, not a curated record. The transcript has 2 exons.